Molecule: ribosomal RNA, 465 nt
Filed under: Vreelandella stevensii
Lineage: Bacteria; Pseudomonadati; Pseudomonadota; Gammaproteobacteria; Oceanospirillales; Halomonadaceae
Description: partial 16S ribosomal RNA
Rfam family: Bacterial small subunit ribosomal RNA
Source: RNAcentral
CCUACGGGUGGCUGCAGUGGGGAAUAUUGGACAAUGGGGGGAACCCUGAUCCAGCCAUGGCGCGUGUGUGAAGAAGGCCCUCGGGUUGUAAAGCACUUUCAGUGAGGAAGAACGCCUGGUGGUUAAUACCCAUCAGGAAAGACAUCACUCACAGAAGAAGCACCGGCUAACUCCGUGCCAGCAGCCGCGGUAAUACGGAGGGUGCGAGCGUUAAUCGGAAUUACUGGGCGUAAAGCGCGCGUAGGUGGCUUGAUAAGCCGGUUGUGAAAGCCCCGGGCUCAACCUGGGAACGGCAUCCGGAACUGUCAAGCUAGAGUGCAGGAGAGGAAGGUAGAAUUCCCGGUGUAGCGGUGAAAUGCGUAGAGAUCGGGAGGAAUACCAGUGGCGAAGGCGGCCUUCUGGACUGACACUGACACUGAGGUGCGAAAGCGUGGGUAGCAAACAGGAUUAGAUACCCUUGUAGUC